This is an RNA transcript of Brassica rapa (field mustard), 4835 nucleotides long. It is a transcript of the gene named protein TIME FOR COFFEE, with no coding region annotated. NCBI's taxonomy places the organism in Eukaryota, Viridiplantae, Streptophyta, Magnoliopsida, Brassicales, Brassicaceae. The record is from RefSeq and is a predicted model, not a curated record.
UCCCUUUUAUAUAGUAGGAUGAGGAGCACAAAUAAAGGAUGAGAUAAUGGGAAGCAAGUAGAGAUAGAGAGAGAGAGAGAUGGAUAGAAAUAGAGAAGCUAGAAGAGUACCUUUGGCGGCUGCCGGAAACGGCUUGUCACGGCGGAGGCAUAGAGCCGGAAGCUUCAGAGACUCUCCAGAGGAGGAAGGUCCGGUGGAGUUACCGGAGGCGGCGAGGCUGAGAGAUCGUACGAGGAAGGAACGAGAUCGGGAACGUGAUAGAGAACGGGAGCACAGGGAGAGAGAUCGGUUACAUAGCCGGAGCAAAAGGAGAAGAGGCGAACGUUUGAUAAUGGUUCACGACGGUGGCGACGACAGCUCGGAAGAGAGUGUCAACGACGAUGAAGAAUAUGAGAAUAUCUUCUCAUCGCCUCUUUCAAAUCACCAGAGGAAGAACUUUCCAACACCGCCGGCAAAAAAUUUCAGAUCGCCUCCUACUCCGGCGCUGCCGGUGCCGUCGUGGAAGGCGGCGGCGGAUGAGAUGAUCGGCGUAGCAGUUCCUAGAAAAGCACGGUCAGCUUGUACGAAGAGACCGCAUGAAUCAUGGACGUCAAAUGCUUCUCCAGCAGCUCCUACAUCUCCUUCUUCAUCCAACGUGAAAAAGAUUACGUUGGGGGCAAAACAGAAGCAGCCUCUUCCUCAGAAGGUAUCAUCAUCUCCGGUGGCUGUUCAAGAUGAGAUAGAGAUUGAAAUCGCGGAGGUGUUGUACGGGAUGAUGAGGAUGCCUACGUCGAAACAAGAAGAGAAAACAACUGUAGAUAUCAGAGCCAGAGUAUCUUCACCAAUCUCCAUCACACUAGCUGCAAAUUCGAGCUCCAUUGCUCCUAAGAGAAAGAAGCAGAGGCAUGUCAAAUACGAGGAGGACGAGAACAGUUCAGGUUUACCAUCACGCGCCACUAAAUUGGAAGCCGAAGCUCCGUUAGGUGAUGAGCUAAAGAGAUCAGGAUCCGGUGAAGAAAACAGCUCAGUGUUGGAUUCGAUAAAUCCAGAGCUCAGAGAAAGCAACGCCGCAUUAGAUUCGAGAUCAGCUGAGAAGAAAGAGGAGACUGUAUUGCCGAAAGUGGAAUCUUCUUCAGGAGUUAGAUCCGGUGGUGAUGUAGCUAAACCAAGCUCGCCGGAGAAGGAGAAGUUUGAGAUAGAUCUGAUGGCGCCACCGCCGGGAAGGUCUUCACCGGAGAGAGUCGGUGAGAUGGAAUGUGUGGCAGCAGAAGCGGAACCUAAAGUCACGGAAGUGGAAACGGAACCUAAGCCUCUGCUAAAGGAAGAUGGAGGUAGUGCUGCGAUUGUUGAGUCUGAGGAGAAGAAGAGACCUAGGACGGUGGAUGAAGCCGAACCUCAUACGUCAGAGAGGAGUUGUGAACUUAAACUUGACUUGGAUAAAUCUGAUCACGUGGGUGUAAUGAACAAUCAACAUGUUCAGAAACAGCCGCCACCGCAACAACAACAACAUUCUGUUCCGGAUAAAAUUGCUCAAGCUAACUCUUUGCCUCUACAUAUGUCAAUGCCUGGCUGGCCUGGAGGUCUUCCGACAAUGGGAUACAUGCCGUCUACACAAGGAGCUGUCCCUACAGAUACUAGUUCCUUAUCUUCGGCGGCAAUGCAGCCUCCUCCUCAUUUACUUUUUAACCAACCGAGGCCUAAGAGAUGUGCAACACACUGCUACAUCGCUCGAAAUAUUCAGUCACAUCAGCAAUUCACCAAGAUGAAUCCUUUCUGGCCUGCAGCAAUUGGCUCAGCUCCAUUGUAUGGGACCAAGGCCUGCAAUCUCAGUCUCAUGCCUCCCACAGAACUGCAGGGGACUGUUUUAGGAAGAAGUUCCAACCAAAUUCAAGAUGAAAACUCUCAAUCUUCUUCUAAGAGCUCAGAUACAGCUCAGAGAAACCAAAUAUUGCUCCAACAAGCUCUGCCUCCCGGAGCAGCAGCUAGUAACAUCAUGCAUGGUCCUACAUUCAUUUUCCCGGUGGGGCAACAGCCUACAAUAACUGCAGCAUCUGUCAGACCUCCUAAUAGUGGCAACACAGCUUCUUCUGGUGCGACAGCUAGUGCAAACUCAAUGAACGGUUCUGCAUCAGCUACUCCAGCUGGUGCCCCAACAAUGACCUUCAGUUAUCCAGGCAUGCCGGGCAAUGAAACCCAAUACCUGGCCAUCAUGCAGAACAAUGGCUUUCCGUUUCCAGUCCCAGCACAUGUUGGUGCACCACCUGCUUAUAGAGGAGCUCCCGGGCAGCCAAUACCAUUUUUCAAUGGUUCGUUCUAUUCCUCCCAAAUGAUCCAGUCUCCAUUUUCCCAGCCACAGAAGCAGCAACAGCAACCACAGCAGCAGCAAGCUGGUCAAAUGCUCCAGAGCCAUGCUCAGAACAACCAGAAUGGAAGUGUCUCCUCUGGUUCCUCAGCAGCACAAAAGCAUCUGCAGAACCAUCAGCUGAGACCACAAAGGAACUCCGAAGGAUAUCCAACUCAUAAAGUCCAAUCUCAGGUUUUGACUUUUCAGCAGAGGCAGCAACCAAGAGAGAAUGCGACUCAACAUAGCGACACUGUAGGAGAAAAUAGCCCAUCAGCCGCUGAUAGCCGGGGUUCUCGUUCAAACGUUGCCUAUGGCCAAAACUAUGGUAUGCAGAUGCAACCAACGAACUUGGGUUUGAUGAGUUCAGCAGCCCCAGGUGGUGGAGUCGUAGUAUCGUCCAGCAAUCAUGGCGAAAAGAAAUCUCAACAGCAGGUUUCAAAGGCUGGUGCGGAAUCGUUUCAGUCCCAGGGUUAUGCUAUGACCUUUGCCACAUUCAAUGGAAUGUCAUCAACUGCUCAGAAUCACGCUACGUUCCAGAGCCUACCAGAAGCAGCAAGGCAAGGUUAUCAAAUGAUGGCUGCGAAUGUUGCAGCCCAGCAGAAAAUGAACUACAGUGCUCCUUCAGAAGGAAAAUCCGGCUCUAAUGCUACUGCUAAGACUUUGGAAGAACAAAGAAAAACAGAAGGAGCAUCAGGGAAAACGAGUGGUGUGAAUGGUGGACAGUCGAUUGCUUUCUCUAGCAAACACGAUUUGGGUGAUGCAUCUGUUUCUGCUGUUACGAGUGGUAACAUCGUCGAUACGUCCCGUUUGCUCAACCUAGGUUCAGCUCAGCAACAGAGUACCAGUUCUAUGCCGACGUCUCAUCAUAAUCUGCAACAGAAGAUGAAGCAGCAUAUGCAACAGCAGAAUCACCACCUGCAGCAGCAUAUGCAACAGCAGAAUCAGCACGUUCAGCAGCAUAUGCAACGAAGUCAAUCUCAGCAACCUUAUACCAUGUAUCUCCAGAAGCAGCAACAGUAUGCAACUUCAGUCGCUGCUUCUGCUGCUAAAAACAAAGGGCCUGUGGUGAGUAAUGGUACUGGUGUCGCUGAUCACAGUAUCAGCGUAUCCCCAGUGGGAACCGCUAAGUUCCCAAAUGCCAAUUCAGGGUUUCCUCAAAACCUUGUCCAGUCAAGCAGCAGUCAGGUCCAGUCUCCUCAGUGGAAAAGCAAUUCACCCAGGACAACAAACACUUCCCAGGCUCAGUCUCCUUCCAUACUUUCGCCGUCAUCAUCUGUUGCUGCUUCGUCAUCCCCAAGAAACGUAUCGCAUAAACAGCAAAGCCGCCCCCAGCAGUCGCAGAUAUCUUUUGCAGCAAACUCAAAGCCUACAGCAACUGGUUCACCAAUGCAGCAGGUGCAAGGAGGUACCAACAAUCAGGCUCCGUCUUCUCCAAUGUUAGUUGGGUCACCUUCUACGUCUUCGGUCUCCAAAAACACUGGCGGGAGCCCAAGAACAACUGCUUCGGCUUCCUCAGCGGUGAAUAAAGCUGGACAAGCUUCCUCUACUACUCACUCGUCAUCUCAGCCGUCCAAGAAAAUGCAGCCUGCAUCCGUAGCUUCUUCUGCCGCCGUUGGAAGGAAUAACGGUCCUUCAGUUCUCGGAAACCCCACCACUAGCUCCGGAUCCAAGUCCCAACAACAGCAGUUGCCAAAGCAUGGGUUGCAGCAGCAAGCGCAGCUUUUCUUUUCCAAUCCUUAUAUGCAAUCUCAACAUCAACAGCAGCAGAUCACUAUGUCUUCUUCUGGUGGUUAUUACAUUCAAAGACAUCAGCAACAACCAGGUUCUGCAGCAGCGUGUCCUCCAGUUAGCACCACGGGAUCCGUUAUGGCCACUUCAGAUCCAGCGAAAGCCAUGGCUGCAGCAGCAGCAGGCAAUAACUUAAAAGGAGGAGGGAAGACGCAGCAACAUCAGCUGGGACCUCCUGGGUUCGGGCUCCCGUAUGUUCACGCGGUUCCCUGUGCAGUUCAAGUUAAACCUGUAGAUCAGAAGCAACAAUCGGGUGAGUGAAAAAGACCCCUAAAAAACCAUUUUUAACUCAAAACCUAAAAAAAAGAAAAAGCUCUGAAUGGUUUGAGAAGUUCCGGUGUAUAGCUUGUGCUGGCGAGAGGGAAGAGAAAGACGGAAGCAAGAAACAGACGGAACAGAUGAUCACUCACUAGGGAUAGACUAGUGUUUAUAUUAUCCUGACAGGAACCAAGUGUUUCGAUUCCUAGAAAAAAAGAAAAGAUUUAUUCAUUCUUCUUGUGGAGGUUUGAGUGGUGUCGGUGACGAUUUUAGGUAGUAAAAAGAAAAGAACAAGAGCUAACGAACGUUGUACUGAUGUGUUAUUGUUUUGGCCUGUUUCGUCGGAUCAUCAGUUAGUGGAUUAUAUGUAGUUAGCUGUUUUUAGUUGAAUUUUGUAUGUAAUGAAGCAUGAAACCGUAUGAUGAAUGUAUUGAUUAUUGUUAUUUAUUUAUGUUCUUUACGGUCA